GGUUUGGGGUUUCGGGUUUGGGGUUUCGGGUUUGGGGUUUCGGGUUUAGGGUAUGGGGUUUGGGGGUUGGGGUUUCGGGUUUGGGGUUUAGGGUAUGGGGUUUCGGGUUUGGGGUUUCGGGUUUAGGGUAUGGGGUUUGGGGGUUGGGGUUUCGGGUUUUGGCUUUCUGAUUCUAGGGAUUCAAACAUAACACUCGUUAAUUCCACGUAAGCACAAAUCGUCGUAAAGUCC
RNAcentral lists this long non-coding RNA (231 nucleotides) under Brassica napus (rape). RNAcentral describes it as "long non-coding RNA (BNAP_LNC013545)". Lineage: Eukaryota; Viridiplantae; Streptophyta; Magnoliopsida; Brassicales; Brassicaceae. The record is from RNAcentral.